CCGAAAGGGUGGCCGGUCAUCGGCACCAUCCCUCUCUUGGGGAACAUGCCCCAUGUAGCGCUGGCCAAAAUGGCCAAGAAGUACGGGCCGGUGAUGUACCUGAAAAUGGGCACGUGCGGCAUGGUCGUGGCGUCGACCCCUGACGCCGCCCGGGCUUUCUUGAAAACCCUAGACAUCAACUUCUCCAAUAGGCCCCCGAAUGCGGGCGCGACCCACUUGGCCUAUGACGCGCAGGACAUGGUCUUCGCUGACUAUGGCCCGAGGUGGAAGUUACUUAGGAAGCUGAGCAAUUUGCACAUGCUCGGAGGGAAGGCCCUCGAGGACUGGGCUCGCGUCCGAACGUCCGAGCUAGGGUACAUGCUUCAAGCCAUGUGCGAGUGCAGCAAGCGAGGCGAGCCGGUGGUGGUGCCGGAGAUGUUGACCUAUGCCAUGGCGAACAUGAUAGGGCAAGUCAUUUUGAGCCGAAGGGUGUUCGUGACGAAGGGCUCCGAGUCUAACGAAUUCAAGGACAUGGUGGUAGAGCUGAUGACAAGCGCAGGUAUAGCAGUCGAAAGACAUUUGAAAUAAAAACAUAAAUACGCUUAGCUAUCACGCGAGUUGUUAAUUGCUCGAAUAUAAGGCAGGCUCACGAAAGUUACCCUAAUUCCCUUACUUGAUGUAGGGAUCUUUAACAUCGGCGACUUCAUCCCGUCAGUUGCGUGGAUGGACUUACAAGGGAUCGAAGGUGGAAUGAAGCGCUUGCACAAGAAAUUCGACGGGCUUUUGACGAAGAUGAUCGAGCAACACUCGGCAACUGCUCACGAGCGUAAAGGAAACCGGGAUUUUCUCGAUGUUGUCAUGGCUAACCGAGAUAACUCUGGGGACGAGAAGCUUAGUUUGACCAACAUUAAGGCUCUUCUCUUGGUAUAUACAUGUCUAAGUGAAUCGAACAAAAUCUAUCAUGUCGAUUCUUGGCUUCUUCAUCAACUUGUGACGUUGAUAAGUACUGAUCUCGUUAUCUCUUUUUUCUAGAAUUUGUUCACUGCGGGCACUGAUACUUCAUCGAGCAUAAUCGAGUGGUCGCUGGCCGAGAUGUUGAAGAAGCCCAGCAUCCUCAAGCGAGCCCACGAAGAGAUGGACCGAGUCAUCGGGCGGCACCGACGCCUUGAGGAAUCCGACCUCCCGAAGCUCCCGUACUUGCAGGCCAUAUGCAAGGAGAGCUUCCGAAAACAUCCAUCGACACCACUAAACCUACCGAGAGUCUCGACCGAGGCGUGCCAAGUGAACGGCUACUACAUCCCCAAGAACACGAGGCUGAGCGUGAACAUAUGGGCGAUCGGGCGGGACCCGGACGUUUGGGAGAACCCUCUGGACUUCACCCCGGAGCGGUUCCUGAGCGGGAGGAACGCAAGGAUUGACCCCCGCGGGAACGACUUCGAGCUUAUCCCGUUCGGGGCGGGGCGGAGGAUCUGCGCCGGGACGAGGAUCGGGAUCAUGCUGGUCGAGUACAUACUGGGGACGUUUAUUCACUCGUUCGACUGGAAGCUGCCGGACGGCGUGGAUAAGCUGAACAUGGACGAGGCAUUCGGCCUGGCGUUGCAAAAGGCCGUGCCCCUCUCGGCCGUCGUCACCCCACGGCUCUCCGUUAGCGCGUACGCAUCUUAGAGCUUCACGCAAAAAGCUCUCCCACUACGAGAAUCCGACACUGUCGUCGUCCUUGGAGAACUUACUAGACUCGUGAUGGGUCACUAGAUGGGGUCUUCGCUCCUCUUUCGGUGUAUUUUCUUUCUUUAUGUAAUUUGAAUAAUCGACUGUUGUCAUAUUGUGAUAACCUGAAUUUAGUAUAUAAUAUUCGCUCGUGCUCCGCGUUGAUUAUAUAAAACUUUGUUAUAUGUAUAUCUUUGUUGUGGUAAUGGAAGUUCACUAGCAAUGAUAAAAGUGGCGUUGCCAUUAUUUACUAAUCCCGUAACAUAUAAUUUAAAUUAGUUUUUUUUUUUUUUGGCUCUUUAGAGAUAAUGGUUUAGUUGAAAUUAGUAGGGUCACUUUGCUAAUGCGAUGGAUGACUCACCUCCUUUUUUUGCUCGCUUGUUUAUGUAUGGUAAAAUGCAAUUUAUCACGGAACAUGCCUCUUCGGAAGCGGAAAGGCUACGCAAUACUUCCCUCGAUGCCUCCACGCGGGAAGCGCACGUCGCGGGAAGGAACCGUCGCGUGAUAAAGGACGGUCACUUGUCUUGUUUGGCGAGCUUGUAACUUAUCAGAAGUAAGAAACCUACACGGGUCCGAUUACUUGCUGUGCUUGAUGUGUGAGGAGCAAUGUUUUGCUUCCCCCGUCUUAGUUUCAUCCAUAAAGAAUACAUUCAUCCAAUUAAUGAGAGAGAAUCACAAAAAAAAAGUCAUAAUUUUACGGUGGGGUUGGAUUUAUUUUAAUGAAAUAGUAAAUCUUUUCCCAUAUCGCAAAUUGUGGUUGGGUCGAACUUAUUUCUUUCGAAGAAAUAAACGGGAUAGAGAAUGAUUGUCUUAUGGGCACUAAUUGGGUAAAGUCCAAUCAAUACUCGAUCCCUCCUAAGUGUUUCAUAAGGUAUAGCUAGGAUUUAGCCACGGGUUAUGUGUGCAAAUAUGUAUUGCUAAAGUAUAUAUAUAUAUAUAUAUAUAUAUAUAAAGGUAAGCACAAUAAUUAAUAUGCAAACGGUGCUUCAAUUUCAUUCAUAUAAACUCUCGUUCCUUCUCGUUCCUUAUACCACCCUAUAAAACAAACAUGUCAACAAACAUUUCAUUCCUUAUGACUCCCGACUUGCACCUAACAUUAGUAGACUUACCUCACAUUCACGAAUAUGCCACCUUACAACCACAUUAGUUAACACACAAUUAACUUUAUUAGGCCUAAGUUCAAAAUUCUCAAGUAGAGUCGCCACACUAUCAUGACCUACUUCUUGAGGGGAAUAGGUUUAAGGGUACUUAUUUACAAAGUGUGGACUUUCUCAAGUCCAUAUCUCAUGUAACAUUUGUUUCCCAAUUUAUUUGUUCAAAAUGAGCUGCCACUAGCCAUUGUUGAGAGUCGACUAGAAACCUUAAUCAAGACAUGGGAGUAUUAUCUUGAUGGAUGCAGCAAUCGAAGAUUUUGGGUUCGGGGACUUAAUUAUAUUGGCUAUACAACUAGUGCUGUUUUGGUAUCUAAACUGGAUUACGUGCUAAUCAAAGUGUAAUGUAGCCUAUCGAAGAAUUUGGAAUUCAUCCCAACCAUUCUAAAAUUGAAAAUAACAAUCAAUUUACGAGGUGCAAUCAAGUAUAAUCUAGGGUUCAUCCUGAACGUUAUUUGAAUUUUUUUAUUUUCAUGAAUUUUCUAAUUUUUUUUUAUUUAAUUAUUUUUAAUUAAAAAAAAAGGGACUUCGGACCAAGUCAAUGGACCUAGUUUGAAUCGUCGGUUUGACCCAAACCCUAUCAAUCCCGGUUGGGUCAGAAGUUGGACCAGGUCCUAAGGCCUGGUCCAAAUUUGCUAGGGCUAAAUCAACCAAAUUGGGUCUAUUUUCGCUUUGUCUAGAUCAAUUCGCACAUCCGGCCUUACCUUCAGCCCACUCGCAGCCUCCGGCCUAUUUCUCUUUUUUUUUUAUUUAUUGUUUUUGGCCCAGCCCACUUUCUUCGUAUGCUCGGCCCAGCAACGAACCCGCGACCUCAAACCCGGUCAACCGAAUCCGACCCACCCUCCACCUCCGGCAAUCUUGGCCAGAGUUCAGUCCGUCGCUAAGCCACCAUCCUUCGCUGGUCCUCCACUUCGAUCGCCAUCAAGCCACUGCUGCUGCUGCCGUCGCCGUUACCACUAGGUCAUCGGCCAAGGAUCACAUUUUCAUACAAAAUGCUAGAAUUUUUUUCUAAUUCAUUUGUAGGUUUCAACCAAAUAUUGAAAAAAUAUUAUCAAUUUCCAUAAAUAUUAUUAUUUUUGUGAAAUAAAUGAAGCUAUAAUUAUUUUUUUAAAAUUCUAAUAAUCAUCCAUUAACUUUGUAAUUGUAUGAAAGUGUUUUAAUAAUAUACAUAAAUUUUUUUUUUAAAAUCAUGAGAAAUACGUUUUUCUAAAUUUGGAUAAAUAUGGAAGUGUUUUAAUAUUAUGGAUCGAGUCAAAUACGAGUCAAUGAAUUUACAUUAUGAAUAAAUAGUCAUAAGCGAGUUAAGGGUCAAUUUGGAUUGAAUUAUUUAUGGCCUCGUCUGACUUGACCCACCCAUUCCAACGCAACAAGAAAAACGGCAAGGCCAAGCCAUAGGCAGUCCCCAAACAACGUCAAGCUUGAAAUCACAGCAAAUUGGUAAGAUUAACAACACAUCGAUUCAGCCCCGAACAAAGAGCGUGAACGCGGAUCAAACUUAAACGUUUCAUUCAGCAGUUGGGGCUGGGGCCCACUGGCUAAAAUAAAAGGACCACGAAAUGGCUGACACUCAAGCUCGUGCCGAGACUCAUGAAAACAUACAAAAACACAGGGACAAGACACAAGGACGAUGUGAGAUGGAGUUCACAUGAGCCGGACGGCCCGGAGCUCCGGCCCGGCGUGCCCAAAACAGGGCAAGAGCAGAGUUGGGACUGACCUGCUCAGCUUGAGGACGUCAUCGGGAGAGGUCGUUGGACGGGGUUCGCGUGUGGCUGAGAUGUCGGCCGGGGCUCACUCGUUCUCGGUCUCUCUACUCGCCCUCUCGGCUUCAGAUUUCUCUCCGAAGAACCCCCCUUGGCUCCACAUCUCCGAACAGGGUACAUCCAAAACGAGAACACCCCCUCACUCGAACGAAUUCUAGAAGGUCUUGGAUUGGCUCACCUCACCCCCGUUCACUCACUGUCACGUGCCCGCUCAUACGAAACUCACCUAAUGUUUUCUCCUCUCCUUGCGUCAUUCGGUCAACUUCUUCCCGUCAGGGUCAUUCCCUUCACAGCCGUGAGCGUAGGCAAGGGAGAGAAAACAAAGGGGCCAGGCUUUCUCUUAUUUAUUCACUAGGGCUCAGUCAUGGGCUCAAAGAGAAAAAGGAAAAUUGGGCCUAAAGAGCUCCUUCAAGAGAAAUGGGUUGGAUACGCCGAAAUUUUUGCUAAAAGAAUGGGCUAGACAAAACCGGCCCGCUCGAUUUUUAUUACACUUUUUGCCAUUUUUUAUUAACAGCAUACGGAUGCCAAUUUCUAAAUCUUAAAUUCAUCAAUUUAAUCAUAAAAUUUUUGAUGAUUUAUCAAUGUAAUUUUCCGAACAAUUCCGUCCGAUAAUCGUUGGUAUGGACGCCAAGCCUCUUAGGUGACACAACAGACGCUAAUGUAGAUGAUUUUUUCGUUAAAUCUAAACUUUGCUUCUUCUUUUUUAAUUUCUUUCAUUUUUUUAAUGUUUUUUUCUUCCUUUACCAAUCGCCAUGGCCAACAAGAUUGUCCUCAUCAGAUUUGGCAGAGUCUAGUGAGCUUCAAUAGAGGUUGAUGCUCACCUAUUGCUAGUUGCCAGCCAUUGCCACGGCUUAACGGAUAGUGAAAGAAGGGAAAAGAAGAAGAAGAAGAGAGAAACAAAAGAAGGAAAAGAAACAAGAGAAAAAAAAUAGAAAAAUUAAAAAAAAAAUGCAAAAGAAUCAUUCACGUAGCUGGCCACGACACAUAGAAUAGCUAACGUUCAUGGCAAUGAUUGCUAAUCAAAUUUGACCAAACUAACUACAUUAACAAAUUAUCGAAAAGGAUUAGGAUUAGAUUAGCCAAAUUAAAAAGUUUAUAAUCGAAUUUGCAUCCAUACAAUAAUUUAUAAACUUUUUAGGUUAUCUCUCCAAAAAAAAAAUGAGAAUAAUCAUUGUCUAAAUCAACAUUCAGGGAGUCAAAAGUUGUUAAAAUGACAAGUACGGACAUUGCAAAUAAAAUCCAAGUGAAGACCUGGAAGAAAAAAAAAUCUCGAGAACACGACAUCCAAUUCACAAGAAUAGGAUGAACCAUUCAUGUCUGUAGGAACAUAGGUUUUUAUUCGAGAGAUACGCCAUGUAAAAAAUCAUCGCACGAACAAGAUUGAAGUGUCAAUAUAAAAAAAAGAAAAAAGAAAAAAGAAAAAAAAAGAGCCUCAUUCUAGAUAUGCGUUUUCAUUCCAUGAUAAUUAGCGUGGGUAAGUAUUACAUAAUACUAUAUACAUGUUGAUGCUCGAAUAUUCUUUCAAUCAUAAAUUUUUUACACCAUCCGCGUACCAAAUGAAAAUCCUAAAAAUCUUAUUAAAUGUAUAUCGUAUAAAAUUUUUACAUCAUCUGCAUGCCGAAUAGAAAUCCUAAGUAUCUCAUUAAAUGCAUCGUGACCGCGGGCGUGAGUGCGUCGAGUCAUAAUAAAGAUUGGAUAUUUCAUCCGAAUGAUUGACAUGCAUAGCUAACUAGCCUUCGUCGUUUCUUAACCUUUGAAGACCUCUCUGUUCCUUUUCUUCUUUUGUAUCUGUUUUAGAUUCUAGCGAGGAUAAGAAAUCCACGCAACAGAGAAAUGAUAAUGUUGUUAAGCACGUGAUUGGCAGGGGCAGGUGACUUUGCCAACGCCAGAUGGUUCCGGAUGAGGAUUGGGGGACAUAUUCAAACCCUUCGACUUACCAUCGUGCGUCGCUGUCUUGAAUAAUUGAAGGCGAAGAUUAAUCAUCGAUUUGACUUAACCUCGGCUUCCUGGCUCCAUAGCCUGCCAGAUUGAAGUUUACAUUUCAAUUCGCGGUCCAAAUAUUUAAUUACCCGAAGGGCGAAAUUGAGAUUUUCACUACAGGAUUUAUGCGCAUAAUUUACUUUCGAAAGCAUCGUUAUGUGAUAAGUAUAUGUACCUAAUGGCCAACUCAAUCAUGAACGUUAUCUAAUCAACCCGUCAUUUCUUUAUAUUCGUUCGCUGAUUUUAAUCACAAUCCGAUAUACUUACAACAAACACAGGGUAAAGUUCUAAAUUUGUAAAUCCGUUAAUUAUUUCAUAUCAUCAGACUUAACAAUUUCACAGUAAAAUUUAAUAAAAACUAACAAAUGAUAAAUUUGAGACAAGCGUACCAACUUGAGAUUUUUAGUUAAUUAAAAAACUAAUUUUGGAUAAAUUUGUUACAGAUGCACUAUUUUUUUCGGUAGUAUUAACUCAAUACAUAUAUAUAUAUGUGUGUGAAGGAGUAAAUUUUAGAUAAAUUUCAAUAAAUGGAAGUGUGUCCGCCAUGAACAUUUACGAUGAUAUUGUACACUCUAUUCAACGACUGAGGAAUAGAGAUGGAUGAGAUUUUUGUUGAGGUUGUCUCACUUUAGUUGUGGAAGGAGUAGGUGGUCUAUUUAGAAGCGUAAAAGAGGCUUGAGACCACUCAACAUAGUAUUAGAGCACAGAUUUACCAACAAGUCUGGACACGAGAGAGUUAUGAAUUAUUAUGACUUUGAUUUAAGAUGAGAUUGUGGAAGAGACAUAUGAUUAGCUUUUAAGUGUGAGGGAAAAUCUCUCCUCUUAAAUUAAUUUUUUUAGUGAAGGGAGGGCCAACACCACCCAAUACUUUUGAAAAUGAAAUCAUUCACGGACGAAUGCAUUCGUAUCCGGGGAGGACGAUGGAUGACACUUACAGCGUCUCUCUCCCUCCUCUCAUUUCGAGUGGGGGAGUAGGUUAUCAUAACGUUGCCAAGUGCUGGCAUCAUACACUAUCUACACUCUGCUCCGUAAAAAGUUCUAUUUGUCUACGUCAUAUCACGUGACGGGGACCAUAUCUUUUAUGCAUCGAUGAUCCCAUAAUUCUUCACGGAGAAUGGUAGAUCUCGAGGAGCUCAAGGAGAAAAGAAAGCACUGCUGCCCUUCAAAACAUUCUCUGCAAAAUUGAGACAGUGGUUUGGUGGGAAAUCUCGUGCCCCGUUGCAUUCGAGCUACCCAGAUCGUACAUGCGUUUUCAUCGGUCUAUAUAACAGGCAGCAUACAACACACUAAGAAGUGCCCGCGCUCUUCACGAAAUAUUGGAUCGUAUCCCAGCACUUGCAGCGCAUAGAUGGCGAUUCUCGCCGACAAAGUCCUGCUCCGAGAGAUCGCCUCCGCGGCUCUCCUCUUCCUCAUUACCCGAUUCUUUGUCAGCUCUCUCCUGCUUCGCUUGAACUCCUUUAAGCUCCCGCCUGGCCCGAAAGGGUGGCCGGUCAUCGGCGCCAUCCCUCUCUUGGGGAACAUGCCCCAUGUAGCGCUGGCCAAAAUGGCCAAGAAGUACGGGCCGGUGAUGCACCUGAAAAUGGGCACGUGCGGCAUGGUCGUGGCGUCGACCCCUGACGCCGCCCGGGCUUUCUUGAAAACCCUAGACAUCAACUUCUCCAAUAGGCCCCCGA
This 8250-nucleotide long non-coding RNA is filed under the name Eucalyptus grandis. RNAcentral describes it as "long non-coding RNA (EGRA_LNC001123)". Lineage: Eukaryota; Viridiplantae; Streptophyta; Magnoliopsida; Myrtales; Myrtaceae. The record is from RNAcentral.